UGUGAACAUACCUAUAACGUUGCCUCGGCGGGAACAGACGGCCCCGUAACACGGGCCGCCCCCGCCAGAGGACCCCCUAACUCUGUUUCUAUAAUGUUUCUUCUGAGUAAACAAGCAAAUAAAUUAAAACUUUCAACAACGGAUCUCUUGGCUCUGGCAUCGAUGAAGAACGCAGCGAAAUGCGAUAAGUAAUGUGAAUUGCAGAAUUCAGUGAAUCAUCGAAUCUUUGAACGCACAUUGCGCCCGCCAGUAUUCUGGCGGGCAUGCCUGUUCGAGCGUCAUUACAACCCUCAGGCCCCCGGGCCUGGCGUUGGGGAUCGGCGGAAGCCCCCUGCGGGCACAACGCCGUCCCCCAAAUACAGUGGCGGUCCCGCCGCAGCUUCCAUUGCGUAGUAGCUAACACCUCGCAACUGGAGAGCGGCGCGGCCACGCCGUAAAACACCCAACUUCUGAAUGUUGACCUCGAAUCAGGUAGGAAUACCCGCUGAACUUAAGCAUAUCAAUAAGCGGAGGAA
Molecule: ribosomal RNA, 515 nt
Filed under: Fusarium solani
Lineage: Eukaryota; Fungi; Ascomycota; Sordariomycetes; Hypocreales; Nectriaceae
Description: eukaryotic LSU rRNA
Rfam family: 5.8S ribosomal RNA (bases 128-281)
Source: RNAcentral